GUGCCAGCCGCCGCGGUAAUACGGAGGGGGCUAGCGUUGUUCGGAAUUACUGGGCGUAAAGCGCACGUAGGCGGACCGGAAAGUUGGGGGUGAAAUCCCGGGGCUCAACCCCGGAACUGCCUCCAAAACUAUCGGUCUUGAGUUCGAGAGAGGUGAGUGGAAUUCCGAGUGUAGAGGUGAAAUUCGUAGAUAUUCGGAGGAACACCAGUGGCGAAGGCGGCUCACUGGCUCGAUACUGACGCUGAGGUGCGAAAGUGUGGGGAGCAAACAGGAUUAGAAACCCCAGUAGUCC
Molecule: ribosomal RNA, 292 nt
Filed under: uncultured bacterium
Lineage: Bacteria
Description: partial 16S ribosomal RNA
Rfam family: Bacterial small subunit ribosomal RNA
Source: RNAcentral